This 440-nucleotide ribosomal RNA is filed under the name uncultured bacterium. Its description in RNAcentral is "partial 16S ribosomal RNA". It matches the Rfam family "Bacterial small subunit ribosomal RNA", at positions 338 to 795 of the family's 1533-position model. The record is from RNAcentral.
CCUACGGGAGGCAGCAGUGGGGAAUAUUGCACAAUGGGGGAAACCCUGAUGCAGCGACGCCGCGUGAGUGAAGAAGUAAUUCGUUAUGUAAAGCCCUAUCAGCAGGGAAGAAAAUGACGGUACCUGAGUAAGAAGCCCCGGCCAACUACGUGCCAGCAGCCGCGGUAACACGUAGGGGGCAAGCGUUAUCCGGAUUUACUGGGUGUAAAGGGGGCGUAGACGGCAGUGCAAGUCUGGAGUGAAAGGCGGGGGCUCAACCCCCGGACUGCUCUGGAAACUGGACGGCUGGAGUGCAGGAGAGGUAAGUGGAAUUCCUAGUGUAGCGGUGAAAUGCGUAGAUAUUAGGAGGAACACCAGUGGCGAAGGCAGCUUACUGGACUGUAACUGACGUUGAGGCUCGAAAGCGUGGGGAGCAAACAGGAUUAGAUACCCUUGUAGUC